Long non-coding RNA from Anopheles nili, 519 nucleotides. RefSeq lists it as uncharacterized. Lineage: Eukaryota; Metazoa; Arthropoda; Insecta; Diptera; Culicidae. The transcript has 3 exons. The record is from RefSeq and is a predicted model, not a curated record.
UGUGAUCCUAAGAGGUGAGGAAGCGUGAGAAAAUACGGCGGCAGGAUAACGGCGAGCUGUCAGUGUCAGCUGUGUGCGCGAAAGAGUGAGCGAGAAAAACGAGACCGUGCGUUUCAGUUGGCUCCUAUCAUCACCAUCUUCGUCCUCGUUGUGCGAUGAAAGGAUAAGCAAGCCAGGGAAGCCAUCGUGCCAGGCUUUGCGAGGCUACGCCGGGAACCACUAACCAGAGUAACGACGCACACAAACGUGAGCGAAAAAAAAAAACAAAAAAUGCACAAAACGACCGGCGGCUACAACGUAAAUUCGGUUUGGUUUUAAAUACUGCACAACCAUCGCUGGUACAAUCAUCGCUCCCCCAAACGGCAUACAUCAUUUCAUCAGCAAAAGGAACAGUAUCAAUCCAAACUGGCUGCCUCACAAUGUGGGGCCAGGAUACCCCUGAGCCCCAACACGCAGGCGACAAUCGAAAAGCAUUUGCCGGGGCUGCCGAGCAAGCGUUUGCUCAUGCAGCAGGCCUCC